This 277-nucleotide non-coding RNA is filed under the name marine eukaryotic metagenome. RNAcentral's name for it is "Rickettsia sRNA47". It matches the Rfam family "Rickettsia sRNA47", at positions 34 to 313 of the family's 316-position model. The record is from RNAcentral.
UAAUUGUUUGCACGGAACCCUUACCAAAGGAUUUGGUGCCUAGAAUUAUUGCCCUUUUAUGGUCUUGAAGUGCACCAGCCACAAUUUCUGAUGCGCUCGCCGAACCACCAUUGAUUAAGACGACAAUAGGUUUGCCUUCAACUAUAUCACCGGGUCUGGCGUUAUACCUUUGGUGUUCUUCUUUCCUUCGAGAACGCGUUGAAACAAUCUCCCCUCUCUCUAGAAAUGAGUCUGAGACAGCAAUCGCCUGGUCUAAAAGACCACCUGGAUUAUUUCG